UCGGAUAUGGUGUAACGGCUAACAUUACCGCCUCUCAUCUCACAGGAGAGUUUACGCGGCAGCUCGGGGUUCGAUUCCCCGUUUCCGAA
Non-coding RNA from Coprinopsis marcescibilis, 89 nucleotides. NCBI's taxonomy places the organism in Eukaryota, Fungi, Basidiomycota, Agaricomycetes, Agaricales, Psathyrellaceae. The record is from the annotation of a GenBank genome assembly.